Molecule: ribosomal RNA, 582 nt
Filed under: Colletotrichum gloeosporioides
Lineage: Eukaryota; Fungi; Ascomycota; Sordariomycetes; Glomerellales; Glomerellaceae
Description: eukaryotic LSU rRNA
Rfam family: 5.8S ribosomal RNA (bases 217-370)
Source: RNAcentral
GUCGUAACAAGGUCUCCGUUGGUGAACCAGCGGAGGGAUCAUUACUGAGUUUACGCUCUACAACCCUUUGUGAACAUACCUAUAACUGUUGCUUCGGCGGGUAGGGUCUCCGUGACCCUCCCGGCCUCCCGCCCCCGGGCGGGUCGGCGCCCGCCGGAGGAUAACCAAACUCUGAUUUAACGACGUUUCUUCUGAGUGGUACAAGCAAAUAAUCAAAACUUUUAACAACGGAUCUCUUGGUUCUGGCAUCGAUGAAGAACGCAGCGAAAUGCGAUAAGUAAUGUGAAUUGCAGAAUUCAGUGAAUCAUCGAAUCUUUGAACGCACAUUGCGCCCGCCAGCAUUCUGGCGGGCAUGCCUGUUCGAGCGUCAUUUCAACCCUCAAGCUUUGCUUGGUGUUGGGGCCCUACAGCUGAUGUAGGCCCUCAAAGGUAGUGGCGGACCCUCCCGGAGCCUCCUUUGCGUAGUAACUUUACGUCUCGCACUGGGAUCCGGAGGGACUCUUGCCGUAAAACCCCCCAAUUUUCCAAAGGUUGACCUCGGAUCAGGUAGGAAUACCCGCUGAACUUAAGCAUAUCAAUAAG